UUUCCGUAGGUGAACCUGCGGAAGGAUCAUUACCA
RNAcentral lists this ribosomal RNA (35 nucleotides) under Spumella rivalis. Its description in RNAcentral is "partial 18S ribosomal RNA". The record is from RNAcentral. Lineage: Eukaryota; Chrysophyceae; Chromulinales; Chromulinaceae.